Molecule: non-coding RNA, 26 nt
Filed under: Rattus norvegicus (Norway rat)
Lineage: Eukaryota; Metazoa; Chordata; Mammalia; Rodentia; Muridae
Source: RNAcentral
CCCCUAUUGAUUGGGAGCAGGAGAUU